GCGGUUGUGGCGAAGUGGUUAACGCACCGGAUUGUGGCUCUGGCACUCGUGGGUUCGAUUCCCAUCAAUCGCCCCA
RNAcentral lists this transfer RNA (76 nucleotides) under Bacillus spizizenii. RNAcentral's name for it is "tRNA-His". It matches the Rfam family "tRNA". Rfam says of the family: Transfer RNA (tRNA) molecules are approximately 80 nucleotides in length. Their secondary structure includes four short double-helical elements and three loops (D, anti-codon, and T loops). Lineage: Bacteria; Bacillati; Bacillota; Bacilli; Caryophanales; Bacillaceae. The record is from RNAcentral.